This 188-nucleotide unclassified non-coding RNA is filed under the name uncultured Veronaea. RNAcentral describes it as "sequence contains ITS2". The record is from RNAcentral. Lineage: Eukaryota; Fungi; Ascomycota; Eurotiomycetes; Chaetothyriales; Herpotrichiellaceae.
UCACCCCUCAAGCCCCCGGCUUGGUGUUGGACGAUUUGGCGGAGGCCCCUCACGGGGCUCUCGCCCGUCCCAAAGACAAUGACGGCGGCCUCGUUGGACCCCCGGUACACUGAGUUCUUCACGGGACACGUACUGGAGUAAGGGUUCGCGGGGCACGGUCUGCCUCCCCUCAGGGAGAAUCUUUCUAA